CCUGGCUCAGAUUGAACGCUGGCGGCAUGCUUUACACAUGCAAGUCGAACGGUAACAGGGAGCUUGCUCCGCUGACGAGUGGCGAACGGGUGAGUAAUGCAUCGGAACGUACCCAGUCGUGGGGGAUAACGUAGCGAAAGUUACGCUAAUACCGCAUACGUCCUGAGGGAGAAAGCGGGGGACCGUAAGGCCUCGCGCGAUUGGAGCGGCCGAUGUCGGAUUAGCUAGUUGGUGGGGUAAAGGCCUACCAAGGCGACGAUCCGUAGCGGGUCUGAGAGGAUGAUCCGCCACACUGGGACUGAGACACGGCCCAGACUCCUACGGGAGGCAGCAGUGGGGAAUUUUGGACAAUGGGGGCAACCCUGAUCCAGCCAUGCCGCGUGAGUGAAGAAGGCCUUCGGGUUGUAAAGCUCUUUCAG
This 419-nucleotide ribosomal RNA is filed under the name Zoogloea sp. R-28315. RNAcentral describes it as "bacterial SSU rRNA". It matches the Rfam family "Bacterial small subunit ribosomal RNA", at positions 18 to 439 of the family's 1533-position model. The record is from RNAcentral. Lineage: Bacteria; Pseudomonadati; Pseudomonadota; Betaproteobacteria; Rhodocyclales; Zoogloeaceae.